UUUUUUUUUUUAGUAUAUGAAAUUUUACUUUGAGAAAAUUAGAGUGCUUAAAGCAGGCAUAUGCCUUGAAUACUCCAGCAUGGAAUAAUAUUAAAGAUUUUUAUCCUUUUUAUUGGUUCUAAGAUAAGAAUAAUGAUUAAUAGGGACAGUUGGGGGCAUUUGUAUUUAACAGUCAGAGGUGAAAUUCUUAGAUUUGUUAAAGACAAACUAAUGCG
This 215-nucleotide ribosomal RNA is filed under the name Cryptosporidium hominis. RNAcentral's name for it is "partial small subunit ribosomal RNA". The stretch from base 24 to 215 matches the Rfam family "Eukaryotic small subunit ribosomal RNA", at positions 751 to 947 of the family's 1831-position model. The record is from RNAcentral. Lineage: Eukaryota; Apicomplexa; Conoidasida; Eucoccidiorida; Cryptosporidiidae.